Molecule: ribosomal RNA, 606 nt
Filed under: Streptococcus mutans
Lineage: Bacteria; Bacillati; Bacillota; Bacilli; Lactobacillales; Streptococcaceae
Description: bacterial SSU rRNA
Rfam family: Bacterial small subunit ribosomal RNA
Source: RNAcentral
GACGAAAGUCUGACCGAGCAACGCCGCGUGAGUGAAGAAGGUUUUCGGAUCGUAAAGCUCUGUUGUAAGUCAAGAACGUGUGUGAGAGUGGAAAGUUCACACAGUGACGGUAGCUUACCAGAAAGGGACGGCUAACUACGUGCCAGCAGCCGCGGUAAUACGUAGGUCCCGAGCGUUGUCCGGAUUUAUUGGGCGUAAAGGGAGCGCAGGCGGUCAGGAAAGUCUGGAGUAAAAGGCUAUGGCUCAACCAUAGUGUGCUCUGGAAACUGUCUGACUUGAGUGCAGAAGGGGAGAGUGGAAUUCCAUGUGUAGUGGUGAAAUGCGUAGAUAUAUGGAGGAACACCAGUGGCGAAAGCGGCUCUCUGGUCUGUCACUGACGCUGAGGCUCGAAAGCGUGGGUAGCGAACAGGAUUAGAUACCCUGGUAGUCCACGCCGUAAACGAUGAGUGCUAGGUGUUAGGCCCUUUCCGGGGCUUAGUGCCGGAGCUAACGCAAUAAGCACUCCGCCUGGGGAGUACGAACGCAAGGUUGAAACUCAAAGGAAUUGACGGGGGCCCGCACAAGCGGUGGAGCAUGUGGUUUAAUUCGAAGCAACGCGAAGAACCU